UUUCGACCUCAGAUCAAGCGAGGAUACCCGCUGAAUUUAAGCAUAUAAAUAAGCGGAGGAAAAGAAACCAAACGGGAUUCCCUUAGUAGCGGCGAGCGAAGGAUCCCGAAUCGAAUUCCCGCGGCC
RNAcentral lists this ribosomal RNA (126 nucleotides) under Notoedres centrifera. Its description in RNAcentral is "partial 28S ribosomal RNA". It matches the Rfam family "Eukaryotic large subunit ribosomal RNA", at positions 1 to 129 of the family's 3401-position model. The record is from RNAcentral. Lineage: Eukaryota; Metazoa; Arthropoda; Arachnida; Sarcoptiformes; Sarcoptidae.